GAUGAACGCUGGCGGCGUGCCUAAUACAUGCAAGUCGAGCGAACAGACGAGGAGCUUGCUCCUCUGACGUUAGCGGCGGACGGGUGAGUAACACGUGGAUAACCUACCUAUAAGACUGGGAUAACUUCGGGAAACCGGAGCUAAUACCGGAUAAUAUAUUGAACCGCAUGGUUCAAUAGUGAAAGACGGUUUUGCUGUCACUUAUAGAUGGAUCCGCGCCGCAUUAGCUAGUUGGUAAGGUAACGGCUUACCAAGGCAACGAUGCGUAGCCGACCUGAGAGGGUGAUCGGCCACACUGGAACUGAGACACGGUCAAGACUCCUACGGGAGGCAGCAGUAGGGAAUCUUCCGCAAUGGGCGAAAGCCUGACGGAGCAACGCCGCGUGAGUGAAGAAGGUCUUCGGAUCGUAAAACUUUGUUAUUAGGGAAGAAAAAAUGUGUAAGUAACUAUGCACGUCUUGACGGUACCUAAUCAGAAAGCCACGGCUAACUACGUG
This 497-nucleotide ribosomal RNA is filed under the name uncultured bacterium. Its description in RNAcentral is "partial 16S ribosomal RNA". It matches the Rfam family "Bacterial small subunit ribosomal RNA", at positions 28 to 507 of the family's 1533-position model. The record is from RNAcentral.